GGUUAAGUUAGAAAGGGCGCACGGUGGAUGCCUUGGCACUAGGAGCCGAAGAAGGACGGGACUAACUCCGAUAUGCUCCGGGGAGCUGUAAGUAAGCUUUGAUCCGGAGAUUUCCGAAUGGGGAAACCCUCUGUCCGUAAUGGGACAGAAUCCCUGCCUGAAUACAUAGGGCAGGAGAAGGCAGACCCGGGGAACUGAAACAUCUAAGUACCCGGAGGAAGAGAAAGCAAACGCGAUUCCCUGAGUAGCGGCGAGCGAAACGGGACCAGCCCAAACCAGAAGGCUUGCCUUCUGGGGUUGUAGGACACUCUAUACGGAGUUACAAAGGAAUGAAGCAGGCGAAGAGGUCUGGAAAGACCCAUCAAAGAAGGUAACAAUCCUGUAGCCGAACCUUCAUUCCCUCCAGAGUGGAUCCUGAGUACGGCGGAACACGUGAAAUUCCGUCGGAAUCCGGGAGGACCAUCUCCCAAGGCUAAAUACUCCCUAGUGACCGAUAGUGAACCAGUACCGUGAGGGAAAGGUGAAAAGCACCCCGGAAGGGGAGUGAAAGAGAACCUGAAACCGUGUGCCUACAAGUAGUCAGAGCCCGUUAAUGGGUGAUGGCGUGCCUUUUGUAGAAUGAACCGGCGAGUUGCGAUUUCAUGCGAGGUUAAGCCGCAAAGGCGGAGCCGCAGCGAAAGCGAGUCUGAACAGGGCGUAUGAGUAUGAGGUCGCAGACCCGAAACCAGGUGAUC
Bacillaceae bacterium is the source of this 734-nucleotide ribosomal RNA. It matches the Rfam family "Bacterial large subunit ribosomal RNA", at positions 1 to 730 of the family's 2925-position model. NCBI's taxonomy places the organism in Bacteria, Bacillati, Bacillota, Bacilli, Caryophanales, Bacillaceae. The record is from Rfam.